Long non-coding RNA from Oxyura jamaicensis (ruddy duck), 1496 nucleotides. RefSeq lists it as uncharacterized. NCBI's taxonomy places the organism in Eukaryota, Metazoa, Chordata, Aves, Anseriformes, Anatidae. The record is from RefSeq and is a predicted model, not a curated record. The transcript has 2 exons.
UCUGGUGUAAGAAUGAGGCUUACCUUUAAGUUUUUAAUGGAAGGUGGCCAUGUAGUAGAUAUGGUGAUCAGCUGACCAAAUAGUUUUUUUCUGGAAGUAGCAAUAGGUAGAGGGGAGAGAUCCAAUCUAUAGUGGAUAGAUCCAAUCUACAAAGAAUUAACACAGACUGAAAAUUUUUGAAAAGUUGGUGCUUUUACUUUUUCAAUAUGAGUUAAGAUUAAUGAUACAUAUUGUAAAUGUAUUUUGUUCUUUAUUAAAAUAUUCUUUGGAUUGGUCUAUAUGGUUUUCUGUUAUGGACUUAAACAAUCUUCUAAAAUCUUCACAAGGGAAAGAGUAUGGCUCUUAAAAUGGUUUUCAUCUAGAGUGCUACAUAUCCAGAUGCUUUUGUGAAGUGUGUGGCUUCAUAAAGAGAAGGGCAGUCUCCUACACUGUGUGCAGUCUGCAGAUCAUUAAUUCCUGAGGUCUUCUGAAGCUCCAUGUUUAGGAAAUGCUGGUAGCUAGGUUCUUGUCUUUCUCCCUACUUCAUAGGUUCCAGAAGCACAAUCAGCCUUAGUGUCCAACUGUGUAGAGAAUAAAAACACUGAGAUGCACAGGAGGUAUCCCUGCCUGUGCAGGUUAGUGUAUCAGAAGAGAACUGCUAAGGAAGCAAUGUCCCUCUGUUGAAAGAAAUCACUCCUAUUUGUACAGAGUGUCAUCCUGCAGCCAGAGUCCAGGGUGUCACCACUGUCCCUCUGGAGUUUGCCUUGGUUGAGGCUUCUGAUUUCCCAGCACAUCUUCUCCAGUGGGUGCUGGAAAUGGAGCCUUGCAGUGUCCCCCUGCUCCUUCCUGGGUGUUGCACAAUCCCUCAUUGUCUGGAGCAGAUUUUUAGGGCCUGCUUUGCAUCUGCCACCAUGCAGACCGGCCAGCUGACCUCUAAAGUAUGUUUGCUGCACCUUGCAUUGCAUGAAAACAGUUACUAAGAGUGUUUAAAGAAAAUACCAUUGGAAUUACUUUAAAUGCUUAUAAAUUAAUGAGAUACUUUAACUGCCCUGCCCCCGUUGAUCUUGUGAAACACUGAUGUGAGCUGGUUACUGGUUGAUCUGAGUGCAUGAUAGUGACGAGUUACCGUACCUGGCAGUUACCCAUUUUUGAUAGGUAGUUUAUUGUUUGCAGAUUUGGUGAGUAACAUUAUCUCAGGAUCUCUGAUUGAAGAAUGAAUUAGUAUAAUGCCAUUUCGUUGUUGUUGUUUAUUAUUAUUAUGUCAUAAGUUACUUGGUUCAUGUCCUGAGGGAUCUGUAGUCUAUACUAAAAAACAGACAGAAGUCCCUAUGAAACUUUGGAGAUGAAUGCUACUUCAGAGAGAUCGUUUUUUCCUAGUGGUUUCUUAUUUCUAAGGCUUGUGUUUCUUGUACCAGACCCACAUCCAUGAAUCUUCAAGGGGGGUGUGAAUGGGUAGUACACAGCAUGCAGCGUGGUAUUAAGGGCAUUCAAAAUGGCUUGGCUAGCAAAGUAAAAAA